This 1209-nucleotide ribosomal RNA is filed under the name Staphylococcus aureus. RNAcentral's name for it is "partial 23S ribosomal RNA". It matches the Rfam family "Bacterial large subunit ribosomal RNA", at positions 369 to 1581 of the family's 2925-position model. Lineage: Bacteria; Bacillati; Bacillota; Bacilli; Caryophanales; Staphylococcaceae. The record is from RNAcentral.
AAUCCUGUAGUCGAAAAUGUUGUCUCUCUUGAGUGGAUCCUGAGUACGACGGAGCACGUGAAAUUCCGUCGGAAUCUGGGAGGACCAUCUCCUAAGGCUAAAUACUCUCUAGUGACCGAUAGUGAACCAGUACCGUGAGGGAAAGGUGAAAAGCACCCCGGAAGGGGAGUGAAAUAGAACCUGAAACCGUGUGCUUACAAGUAGUCAGAGCCCGUUAAUGGGUGAUGGCGUGCCUUUUGUAGAAUGAACCGGCGAGUUACGAUUUGAUGCAAGGUUAAGCAGUAAAUGUGGAGCCGUAGCGAAAGCGAGUCUGAAUAGGGCGUUUAGUAUUUGGUCGUAGACCCGAAACCAGGUGAUCUACCCUUGGUCAGGUUGAAGUUCAGGUAACACUGAAUGGAGGACCGAACCGACUUACGUUGAAAAGUGAGCGGAUGAACUGAGGGUAGCGGAGAAAUUCCAAUCGAACCUGGAGAUAGCUGGUUCUCUCCGAAAUAGCUUUAGGGCUAGCCUCAAGUGAUGAUUAUUGGAGGUAGAGCACUGUUUGGACGAGGGGCCCCUCUCGGGUUACCGAAUUCAGACAAACUCCGAAUGCCAAUUAAUUUAACUUGGGAGUCAGAACAUGGGUGAUAAGGUCCGUGUUCGAAAGGGAAACAGCCCAGACCACCAGCUAAGGUCCCAAAAUAUAUGUUAAGUGGAAAAGGAUGUGGCGUUGCCCAGACAACUAGGAUGUUGGCUUAGAAGCAGCCAUCAUUUAAAGAGUGCGUAAUAGCUCACUAGUCGAGUGACACUGCGCCGAAAAUGUACCGGGGCUAAACAUAUUACCGAAGCUGUGGAUUGUCCUUUGGACAAUGGUAGGAGAGCGUUCUAAGGGCGUUGAAGCAUGAUCGUAAGGACAUGUGGAGCGCUUAGAAGUGAGAAUGCCGGUGUGAGUAGCGAAAGACGGGUGAGAAUCCCGUCCACCGAUUGACUAAGGUUUCCAGAGGAAGGCUCGUCCGCUCUGGGUUAGUCGGGUCCUAAGCUGAGGCCGACAGGCGUAGGCGAUGGAUAACAGGUUGAUAUUCCUGUACCACCUAUAAUCGUUUUAAUCGAUGGGGGGACGCAGUAGGAUAGGCGAAGCGUGCGAUUGGAUUGCACGUCUAAGCAGUAAGGCUGAGUAUUAGGCAAAUCCGGUACUCGUUAAGGCUGAGCUGUGAUGGGGAGAAGACAUUG